GAUGAACGCUGGCGGCGUGCCUAAUACAUGCAAGUCGAGCGAACAGAUGAGGAGCUUGCUCCUUUGACGUUAGCGGCGGACGGGUGAGUAACACGUGGAUAACCUACCUAUAAGACUGGGAUAACUUCGGGAAACCGGAGCUAAUACCGGAUAAUAUAUUGAACCGCAUGGCUCAAUAGUGAAAGACGGUUUUGCUGUCACUUAUAGAUGGAUCCGCGCCGCAUUAGCUAGUUGGUAAGGUAACGGCUUACCAAGGCAACGAUGCGUAGCCGACCUGAGAGGGUGAUCGGCCACACUGGAACUGAGACACGGUCCAGACUCCUACGGGAGGCAGCAGUAGGGAAUCUUCCGCAAUGGGCGAAAGCCUGACGGAGCAACGCCGCGUGAGUGAUGAAGGUCUUCGGAUCGUAAAACUCUGUUAUUAGGGAAGAACAAAUGUGUAAGUAACUAUGCACGUCUUGACGGUACCUAAUCAGAAAGCCACGGCUAACUACGUG
RNAcentral lists this ribosomal RNA (497 nucleotides) under uncultured bacterium. RNAcentral's name for it is "partial 16S ribosomal RNA". It matches the Rfam family "Bacterial small subunit ribosomal RNA", at positions 28 to 507 of the family's 1533-position model. The record is from RNAcentral.